GGGUGAUGAUGUAGCUGACCUAUCAUGGAGGAGCAGGCUGAUGAUGUAGCUGACCUAUCAUGGAGGAGCAGGGUGAUGAUGUAGCUGACCUAUCAUGGAGGAGCAGGGAGAUGAUGUAGCUGACCUAUCAUGGAGGAGCAGGAUGAUGAUGUAGCUGACCUAUCAUGGAGGAGCAGGCUGAUGAUGUAGCUGACCUAUCAUGGAGGAGCAGGGUGAUGAUGUAGCUGACCUAUCAUGGAGGAGAAGGAUGAUGAUGUAGCUGACCUAUCAUGGAGGAGCAGGAUGAUGAUGUAACUGACCUAUCAUGGAGGAGCAGGGGUGAUGAUGUAGCUGACCUAUCAUGGAGGAGCAGGAUGAUGAUGUAGCUGACCUAUCAUGGAGGAGCAGGAUGAUGAUGUAGCUGACCUAUCAUGGAGGAG
Molecule: long non-coding RNA, 419 nt
Filed under: Salmo salar (Atlantic salmon)
Lineage: Eukaryota; Metazoa; Chordata; Actinopteri; Salmoniformes; Salmonidae
Description: lncRNA (ENSSSAG00000116180.1)
Source: RNAcentral